UACAGAGGGGGCAAGCGUUGUUCGGAAUUACUGGGCGUAAAGGGCGCGUAGGCGGCCCGCUAAGUCGAACGUGAAAUCCCCGAGCUCAACUCGGGAACUGCGUCCGAUACUGGCGGGCUUGAAUCCGGGAGAGGGAUGCGGAAUUCCAGGUGUAGCGGUGAAAUGCGUAGAUAUCUGGAGGAACACCGGUGGCGAAGGCGGCAUCCUGGACCAAUAUUGACGCUGAGGAGCGAAAGCCAGGGGAGCAAACGGG
Molecule: ribosomal RNA, 253 nt
Filed under: uncultured bacterium
Lineage: Bacteria
Description: partial 16S ribosomal RNA
Rfam family: Bacterial small subunit ribosomal RNA
Source: RNAcentral